CAACAGCAUAGAGAUAAAUGUAGUGGCAGGAUAUGUAGAUCCACAGAAGUUAAAUAAUCCUGUAACAUUUCAUAAAAUGUUGGGAUUUGCCUAGACCUUCACAUGGGCAGCAGGUGUGAUGAGAUGCUCUCACUGAGCCAUACAGUGCCUUUCUGUAUUAACCAGUUCUCAGACUAUUUCAAACUGAUGAGGUUGCCCUAGCUAGAAAGCCAAGGCUCUUUCAUUUCUUUCUGCCCCUCUCCUUUGCCUUCCUUCAACACCAUGGAGAGUGGUCCAGCAGCAGCUCAAUCCAUGCUUGUCAGCAGCCGAGCUCCAUACACUGCAGCUUCGGUCCACAUCCCCCAAGCCUCCUUCUGAUAUUCCUCAGCAGCACCAAUGCACUGUCACUCUGUGUUCUCUUAGGUCCCGUUGAGGUCCUCCAGGACUGCGUCCAUGAAGACAUCAAGGACGAGGAGCUCCUGGCGGAGGCGUCAUGUGAGGAUCACCACCGUCCUGUUGAGGUCCUCCAGGACUGCGUCCAUGAAGACAUCGAGGACGAGGAGCCCCUGGUGA
Molecule: non-coding RNA, 552 nt
Organism: Callithrix jacchus (white-tufted-ear marmoset)
Lineage: Eukaryota; Metazoa; Chordata; Mammalia; Primates; Cebidae
Source: RefSeq, a predicted model, not a curated record